UGGGGAAUAUUGCACAAUGGGCGAAAGCCUGACGCAGCAACGCCGCGUGGGGGAUGAAGGCCUUCGGGUUGUAAACCUCUUUCACCAUCGACGAAGCCCUUUGGGGUGACGGUAGGUGGGGAAGAAGCACCGGCUAACUACGUGCCCGCAGCCGCGGUAAUACGUAGGGUGCGAGCGUUGUCCGGAUUUAUUGGGCGUAAAGAGCUCGUAGGCGGUUUGUCGCGUCGGCCGUGAAAACCUACAGCUUAACUGUGGGCUUGCGGUCGAUACGGGCAGACUUGAGUUCGGCAGGGGAGACUGGAAUUCCUGGUGUAGCGGUGAAAUGCGCAGAUAUCAGGAGGAACACCGGUGGCGAAGGCGGGUCUCUGGGCCGAUACUGACGCUGAGGAGCGAAAGCGUGGGGAGCGAACAGG
Molecule: ribosomal RNA, 413 nt
Filed under: uncultured prokaryote
Also listed under: 1 other name
Description: bacterial SSU rRNA
Rfam family: Bacterial small subunit ribosomal RNA
Source: RNAcentral